AGGACGAGCGCUGGCGGCGCGCUUAACACAUGCAAGUCGAACGUGAAGCCCGGGCUUGCCCGGGUGGAAAGUGGCGAACGGGUGCGUAACACGUGAGGAACGUGCCCCGAAGACCGGGAUAACUCGAGGAAACUCGUGCUAAUACCGGAUGUCCUCACCGGAUCGCAUGGUCUGGUGAGGAAAUGGAUUCCGCUUCGGGAUCGCCUCGCGGCCUAUCAGCUUGUUGGUGGGGUAACGGCCUACCAAGGCGACGACGGGUAGCUGGUCUGAGAGGAUGUCCAGCCACACUGGGACUGAGACACGGCCCAGACUCCUACGGAGGCAGCAGUGGGGAAUCUUGCACAAUGGGCGAAAGCCUGAUGCAGCGACGCCGCGUGCGGGAUGAAGGCCCUCGGGUCGUAAACCGCUUUCAGCAGGGACGAUAGUGACGGUACCUGCAGAAGAAGCCCGGCAACUACGUGCCAGCAGCCGC
Molecule: ribosomal RNA, 472 nt
Filed under: uncultured bacterium
Lineage: Bacteria
Description: SSU rRNA
Rfam family: Bacterial small subunit ribosomal RNA
Source: RNAcentral